RNAcentral lists this ribosomal RNA (140 nucleotides) under uncultured bacterium. RNAcentral's name for it is "partial 16S rRNA". It matches the Rfam family "Bacterial small subunit ribosomal RNA", at positions 355 to 510 of the family's 1533-position model. The record is from RNAcentral.
UGGGGAAUUUUCCGCAAUGGGCGAAAGCCUGACGGAGCAAUGCCGCGUGGAGGUGGAGGGCCUACGGGUCGUCAACUUCUUUUCUCGGAGAAGAAACAAUGACGGUAUCUGAGGAAUAAGCAUCGGCUAACUCUGUGCAG